CAGCCGCCGCGGUAAUACGGAGGGUGCAAGCGUUAAUCGGAAUUACUGGGCGUAAAGCGCACGCAGGCGGUCUGACAAGUCAGAUGUGAAAUCCCCGGGCUUAACCUGGGAACUGCAUUUGAAACUGUCAGGCUGGAGUCUUGUAGAGGGGGGUGGAAUUCCAGGUGUAGCGGUGAAAUGCGUAGAGAUCUGGAGGAAUACCGGUGGCGAAGGCGGCCCCCUGGACAAAGACUGACGCUCAGGUGCGAAAGCGUGGGGAGCAAACAGGAUUAGAUACCCCUGUAGUCCCUGUCUCUUAACC
RNAcentral lists this ribosomal RNA (301 nucleotides) under uncultured bacterium. Its description in RNAcentral is "partial 16S ribosomal RNA". It matches the Rfam family "Bacterial small subunit ribosomal RNA", at positions 509 to 808 of the family's 1533-position model. The record is from RNAcentral.